This 429-nucleotide ribosomal RNA is filed under the name Gemmatimonadota bacterium. Its description in RNAcentral is "Gemmatimonadetes bacterium partial 16S ribosomal RNA". It matches the Rfam family "Bacterial small subunit ribosomal RNA", at positions 355 to 776 of the family's 1533-position model. Lineage: Bacteria; Pseudomonadati; Gemmatimonadota. The record is from RNAcentral.
UAGGGAAUCUUCGCCAAUGGAUGAAAGUCUGACCGAGCAACGCCGCGUGAGUGAAGAAGGUUUUCGGAUCGUAAAACUCUGUUGUUAGAGAAGAACAAGGACGUUAGUAACUGAACGUCCCCUGACGGUAUCUAACCAGAAAGCCACGGCUAACUACGUGCCAGCAGCCGCGGUAAUACGUAGGUGGCAAGCGUUGUCCGGAUUUAUUGGGCGUAAAGCGAGCGCAGGCGGUUUCUUAAGUCUGAUGUGAAAGCCCCCGGCUCAACCGGGGAGGGUCAUUGGAAACUGGGAGACUUGAGUGCAGAAGAGGAGAGUGGAAUUCCAUGUGUAGCGGUGAAAUGCGUAGAUAUAUGGAGGAACACCAGUGGCGAAGGCGGCUCUCUGGUCUGUAACUGACGCUGAGGCUCGAAAGCGUGGGGAGCAAACAGG